CACCGCGGUUAUACGAAAGGCCCAAGUCGACAGUCACCGGCGUAAAGCAUGAUAAGGGACAAAACCUAACUAAAGCUAAACCCUUCGCCCGCCGUCACACGCCCCCAGACUGAUGAGACCCCCUCACGAAAGUAGCUCUACCCCGCCUGAACCAUGAUAACUAAGAAA
RNAcentral lists this ribosomal RNA (168 nucleotides) under Sigmops ebelingi (Ebeling's fangjaw). Its description in RNAcentral is "partial 12S rRNA". The record is from RNAcentral. Lineage: Eukaryota; Metazoa; Chordata; Actinopteri; Stomiiformes; Gonostomatidae.